Molecule: unclassified non-coding RNA, 89 nt
Filed under: Pseudomonas moraviensis
Lineage: Bacteria; Pseudomonadati; Pseudomonadota; Gammaproteobacteria; Pseudomonadales; Pseudomonadaceae
Source: RNAcentral
UGUAGGAGUGAGCCUGCUCGCGAUAGCAAUUGUUCAGUCGACAUCGAGUUGUCUGGACUGGCGCUAUCGCGAGCAGGCUCACUCCUACA